Molecule: long non-coding RNA, 1296 nt
Organism: Papaver somniferum (opium poppy)
Lineage: Eukaryota; Viridiplantae; Streptophyta; Magnoliopsida; Ranunculales; Papaveraceae
Exons: 7
Source: RefSeq, a predicted model, not a curated record
AUCCAUAGUCCCCACGUUUUUCCCCACUCUUCGUUUCUUCCUUGGCAACUGUACAUGUGUAGAAAAAAAAUCAACUUCCCUUCUCUGCAACUCCAAGGUUUCUCAAUCUCCCUGAUUGAUCAGUGGGGUUCUUCUUUUUAAGCUGUGGAGGACGCUGAUAUGUGCUGUUAUCUCCUUGCAAAUCCCCAAAUUUUCACUAAAUUUGUUUUCCUUUCAAGUCACUUGAGUUGUAGCAAGGAACUGCAAUCUCCUAGCAAUUGAAUUGUCCAAUUGGCAUAUUACAGGUUGUGCUGAACUAUAGGAUUGUUCUGGUGGAUGAAAGCUGGCGGAUUAAGUUUUAGAGGGUGAGAGAUAAUGAUUUCUUGAAGAUUCCAGGGCGCUGGAUGCUGAAGGUUGAAGAUUCCAGGGCGUUGGAUGCUGAAGGAAAUAUUGAUCCCAAUCGUUAUAAAUCUGUUUGGAUCACCAACCUUCACAUUUCUAUUCGAGAUGACCGCUAUUCUUGUUUGUGCCUGCAAAAUUUGGGUAAAGCAACAAUGAAGCGUGAAAACGAGAUUGGUACAUUGGUGAUCCAAAUUUUAGUGAUAUUACUCAUCCAUGUUUCCAUCCUGAACACCGGAUGGUGCGGCUCAAGGGAAAAGAUGAAUCAGCAAUGGUCUAGACGUUUCAAAGCUGAUGGAGACGUUUCAAAGAUGCUGGAGAUGCACAAGAAGCAGCAGAAGAAGAAAAGCUGCUGCGAGUAGAGUUUGUGGAGUAAGGAAGGUAGCUUUCCCCCAAAAAAAGUUCACAAGUCUGUGAUUCAAAUAAUAUCACCCCUGGACCUGAAUUUAUGCAUGUUUUUUCAACUCAGACUAAAGAAUGAUCCUGAGUGGAGAUCAGUCAAGGUUGUCUAACGUUCUUGGUGACAAAAUUAUGUUUUGCAUUCGCUGGCAAAACACUUCCUGGUUUUGAUCCAAAUACCCGUCCAUACUUGUAUGGUUCGGAUAAAGAUUUGAUUAUGCUGCAUUGGCUACGUAUGAACUGCAUUUCUUUAUUGUUAGAAGAGAGGACGUUCAUAGUAAAGAAUUAACAGAAGGUGCUGAAGAUAGUGUGGCCAGAAGGGUUUAGGUGGGCAUAUAUGGGAAAGUUGAUAAGUGCAGAGUGAUGGAUGUAAGGAGUAGCUGGUUAUGAUAUUAGACGUUUUAUUUAAAAAUGUAUAUUGCAAUUUUGGUUUUCUGACAACUUGUUUGUAGAAUGUAUCGUUUUUUUGUUUUGAAGAAUGUAUCGUUUUUUAAUGUAACAACUCAUCUAAAAUUUUAA